This 3633-nucleotide ribosomal RNA is filed under the name Candidatus Microgenomates bacterium. RNAcentral's name for it is "partial 23S ribosomal RNA". It matches the Rfam family "Bacterial large subunit ribosomal RNA", at positions 357 to 2915 of the family's 2925-position model. The record is from RNAcentral. Lineage: Bacteria; Candidatus Microgenomatota.
AUAGAAAGUGAAAGUCUUGUAAGCGAAACCAAAAACACCUCGGGCGAUAUCCCAAGUACCAUGGGGAAAGUACCUUGUGGGAAUCUGGGGAGGCCACUCUCCAAGGCUAAAUACUCCUUAUGUCCGAUAGUGAACUAGUACCGUGAGGGAAAGGUGAAAAGAAGGGUGAGACACCCAGUGAAAUAGAAACUGAAACUACUAGCUAACAAACAGACGAAGCUUGUGCUUCGCACACAGGAUGACAGGAAACAGGAAUUAGUGAAUAGUCUUUUGAUUGUUCAUUGUUCACUGUAAUCUUGCUAUCUUGCGCGCGGAGCGCGAGUAACGUCGUGCCUAUUGAAGAAUGAUCCAGCGAGUUUUCGGUUGUCGCUUGUUUAAGUCCGCUCAGCGGACGUAGGCAAAGCGAAAGCGAGUGUUAAAAGCGCGCCCCGGUUUACACCGGGAUCGCGGCAACCGGAAGACCCGAACCCGGGUGAGCUAACCUUGAGCAGGGUGAACCCCGCCGAAAGGCGGGAGGAGGCCCGAACUCGUUGUCGUUGCAAUGACAUGAGAUGACUUGAGGUUAGGGGUAAUAUGCUUAUCGAACCCGGAGAUAGCUGGCUCUCCCCGAAAUAUAUAUUGGUAUAGCCUGUCUGUAUAAGCCAAAGAGGUAGAGCUACUGAGUGGUUGCAGUGCAGCAAUGUAUUGCAAUCAACCAAACUCCGAAUGCUUUGGUGUUCACAGAUGGAGUCAGACUGGUCGGGCUAAGCUGAUCAGUCGAGAGGGAAACAGCCCAGACUUGCAAUUAAGGCCUCUAAAUUUUAGCUAAGUUAAAGGAAGUUAGGUUCCUCAGACACCCAGGAGGUUGGCUCAGAAGCAGCCAUCCUUUAAAGAAAGCGUAACAGCUCACUGGAUGAGCUCCGGUGUUACACCGGAGGGGGAAUCUAGCGCCGUAAAUGAUCGAGAAUAAGCUAAAUGCCGAAAUUCAAGACCUCGUGCGCAGCACGAGGAAAUUCUAAGAACUAAAUCCUAAACUCUAAUUAAUUUCAAAAUUACAAUUUUCAAAUAAUAAAAAAUUUGGAAUUUGUAAUUUAAUAAUUGAAAUUUAUUUGGUUUUUUGGAUUUGGAAUUUGGGAUUUUCUCAUGCUACGCAUGAGUGUGGUAGGGGAGCGUUCCAUCAGCAGUGAAGCUCAGGUUGUAAGACCGGGUGGAGCGGAUGGAAGUGAGAAUGCUGGAAUGAGUAACGUAAGUCCGAUGAGAAUUCGGACCGCCGAAUACCCAAGGUUUCCCACGCAACGUUUGUCGUCGUGGGGUAAGUCGGGACCUAACAUGAGGCCAGAACACUGGCGUAGUGGAUGGACAACAGGUUGAUAUUCCUGUACAAGGAAGCAGUCGUUAUUACCAAGGGACUGACGGAGUCGGAAUAACCGGGUCAGGAGAUGAAAUUCCUGAUUUAAACACAAAAAUAGUUUUGAUUGGAAAAUCCGUUGAAACGCUUAAAUUGAUGUGUGAUGAAGAUCCCGGUGUUACACCGGGAAAUCCGGUAAGGUUCAGUUCCCAAGAAAAGGUUCGUUGGGAGACUGUUUUUUUCCCGUACCGCAAACCGACACUGGUGGGUUGGUCGAGUAGACUAAGGCGAUCGAGAGAAGGAGGUUCAAGGAACUCGGCAAGAAAUCUGGACGUAAGCUUUGCAAGAUGUCCUGACCGUUUUGGAACUACUUUUGUAGUUUUGAAAUGGCCCACAGCAAAAGAUUGUCAAGGGACUGUUUAACUAAAACACAGGUCUCUGCAAACCCGUAAGGGAAAGUAUAGAGGCUGCGACCUGCCCAGUGCCCGUAGGUUAAAGUUUGGGGUGAUCCCCGGUGUUACACCGGGAUGAGCUCUGGGCCUAAGCCCGGGUGAACGGCGGCGGUAACUAUAACCGUCCUAUGGUGGAUUUGCUGCCAUAGUAAAAUCUGACUAUAUGCUGGAAUAUCCGGAGUAUAUGAUCGGUACUAACAUUUUGUUAUAUUAUUAACUUAAUGACAGUAAAAAUCCGACAUUGUACGACAAGGUGCGCCAAGUCUGACUUGGCUGGCACGUUUGACGUGCCGGACAAUCAGCAGGAAAGAUUAAAAAUGGUUGGUUGGAUAGUAGGAAUUACAGAUGGAGAAGGUUGUUUUACAGUAAGUAUCAAUAGAAAUCCUACAACAAAGCUUGGUUGCCAAAUUCUUCCGGAAUUUGUGAUUACACAAGGCGAACGAAGCCUGUUUGCUCUUAAUAAAAUUGAAAAAUUUUUUAAGUGCGGCAGGGUUUUUGUUAACCGAAGACACGAUAAUCACAAAGAAGAUAUCUAUCGGUAUUGUGUAAGAUCAAUUAAAGAUCUGCACGAUAUUAUUAUUCCAUUUUUUAAAGAAAACAAAUUAAUGACUGGAAAAAGAAAAGAUUUUAUUUUCUUUUCUCAAAUUGUUGGGAUAAUGUUUCAAAAAAAGCAUUUAUCAAAAAAUGGAAUUGAAAAGAUUGGAAGAAUUAUUCAAAAAAUGAAUACCAAGAAAAUGCCAUCAUUUUUAAAAUCCUCAGAGACUACAUGUCAGAGUCCCGCCAAAUCGGCGGGGGAAGAUAUAGUCCCAUCUGCAUGGCGACAUGCAGUUAAGAUGUAUUUUAAAAAUACAAUGAGCGAAGUCCCUCGUCUGGUGAGUUCAGACCCGCACGAAAGGUUUAACCACUUGACAACUGUCUCGAACCUUCACUCGGUGAAAUUGAAAUGGCUGUGAAGAUGCGGCCUACAUACUCUUGGACAAAAAGACCCCGUGGAGCUUUACUGUUAUUUGAUACUGAAAUGAAGCGAUGAAUUGUUUAGCGUAGGAGGGAGUCCCGCCUUUGGCGGGACAUCAAUGAAACACCUCUCUUUCGUUGUUUUCAGAUCUAACCCAUUCCGGCUGGAGACGCCGGAGGGGACAGUGUUAGAAAGACAGUUUGACUGGGGCAGUCACUUGCUAAAAGGUAACACAAGUUCACAAAGGUACCCUAAGCCCGGAUGGAAAUCGGGUGUUUUGUGUAAAGGCACAAGGGUGCUUGACUGCGAGACUGACAGGUCGAGCUCCCGAUGUAAAAAUCGGGACGCCGAUGCCGAAAGGCCAUCGGUGAGGUGCGAAAGCAGGUCUUAGUGAUCCUCUAACUCGUAGUGGUUACGGUUAGAGCUUAAAGGAUAAAAGCUACCCCGGGGAUAACAGGCUAGUCGCGCCCGAGCGUCCACAGCGCCGGCGCGGUUCGGCACCUCGAUGUCGGCUCACCGCAUCCUGGGGGUGAAGAAGCCCCCAAGGGUUGGACUGUUCGCCCAUUAAAGCGGUACGCGAGCUGGGUUCAGAACGUCGUGAGACAGUUCGGACUCUAUCCAGAGUAUGCGUUCGAUUUUUGAGGGGAUUCCCCCAUAGUACGAGAGGACCUGGGGGAGGGAACCUCUAGUGUGCCAGUUGUUUCUGUCAAGAGCAGCGCUGGGUAGCUACGUUCCUUAAGGAUAACCGCUGAAAGCAUCUCAAGUGGGAAGCCCACCCCAAGAUUAGAAAUCGUACCCCGCCAUCGGCGGGGGAGAGACCCCUGGAAGACUACCAGGUUGAUAGGCGGCCGGUGUAAGUGCAGCAAUGUAUUUAGCCUAGCCGUACUAAUGGUCGAAUG